CCUACGGGAGGCAGCAGUGGGGAAUAUUGCACAAUGGGGGAAACCCUGAUGCAGCGACGCCGCGUGAGCGAUGAAGUAUUUCGGUAUGUAAAGCUCUAUCAGCAGGGAAGAAAAUGACGGUACCUGACUAAGAAGCCCCGGCUAACUACGUGCCAGCAGCCGCGGUAAUACGUAGGGGGCAAGCGUUAUCCGGAUUUACUGGGUGUAAAGGGAGCGUAGACGGCGGUGCAAGCCAGAUGUGAAAGCCCGGGGCUCAACCCUGGGACUGCAUUGGAAACUGUGCUGCUAGCGUGUCGGAGAGGCAGGCGGAAUUCGUAGUGUAGCGGUGAAAUGCGUAGAGAUUAGGAGGAACACCAGUGGCGAAGGCGGCCUGCUGGACGAUGACUGACGUUGAGGCUCGAAAGCGUGGGGAGCAAACAGGAUUAGAUACCCCGGUAGUG
This 440-nucleotide ribosomal RNA is filed under the name uncultured bacterium. RNAcentral describes it as "partial 16S ribosomal RNA". It matches the Rfam family "Bacterial small subunit ribosomal RNA", at positions 338 to 795 of the family's 1533-position model. The record is from RNAcentral.